GCGAAAUAAAAGGCUCGGUUGCUUUUCCCCAGCCAAGGACGGGUGCCCAAGGGAUUUCAGCUGGAAGGGAGAAAAACCAAGCAACACCCUUCUCCACUUGCUCCUUGUGCGGCACAUACACAUACUAAAGGGAUCUUGUGAAAAUCCAGCUACAAGACCUGUUAUAACACAAUGAAGAGCCACCUGUCCAGAAGCUUAGAAUUUCAAUGAUGACAUUGAACCUGAUGAUUUAUAUUGUAACAAAGAGCAAGCUUGAGACCAGCAAGGUGAUCCUCCAUUUGAAAUAUUGAAUUGAAAUAUUGAAAAAGAUCCUCAUUUAAUAGCUCAAGCAGACCUAGAU
Molecule: long non-coding RNA, 340 nt
Filed under: Sarcophilus harrisii (Tasmanian devil)
Lineage: Eukaryota; Metazoa; Chordata; Mammalia; Dasyuromorphia; Dasyuridae
Description: lncRNA (ENSSHAG00000025435.1)
Source: RNAcentral